CCCUUAGACGUUCUGGGCCGCACGCACGCUACACUGACACAGGCAACGAGCUUUCCUUUACCGAAAGGUAUGGGUAAUCUUUUGAAACUGUGUCGUGCUGGGGAUAGAUCCUUGCAAUUUUUGAUCUUAAACGAGGAAUUCCUAGUAAGCGCGAGUCAUCAACUCGCGUUGAUUACGUCCCUGCCCUUUGUACACACCGCCCGUCGCUACUACCGAUUGAAUGGCUUAGUGAGGCCUCAGGAUCCGCGCUUAAUGUGUGGAGAAUUUGGACAAACUACGUCAUUUAGAGGAAGUAAAAGUCGUAACA
RNAcentral lists this ribosomal RNA (307 nucleotides) under uncultured eukaryote. Its description in RNAcentral is "partial 18S ribosomal RNA". It matches the Rfam family "Eukaryotic small subunit ribosomal RNA", at positions 1470 to 1796 of the family's 1831-position model. The record is from RNAcentral.